GGCAAGUCGUCCAGGUCCUGAGGCAGCAAAGCACCCUCCAACCGUCACACUACCAUCCCGCUUGACCGUUGGUAUGAGGUUCUUACUGUGGAAUGCAGUGUUUGGUUUUCGCCAGACAUAAUGGGACCCAUGUUGUCCAAAAAAAGUUUGACUUUUGAAUCAUCUGUCCAUAGAACAUUAUUCCAAGAGUCUUGAUGAUUAUCCAUGUACUUCCAGGUGCUUUUUGGGAAAACUUGAGCCAACUUGGACCCCUGCGUGUCGACAAACUCCACUGUUACUUUACUUCGACAAUGUUAAGACAGACUUGGCAGAACAAAACUCUGUCAUCUCAUGCUACUAAAGGCUGUCCAAGUUUUAAUCAGCCCGGUAUGUUUGUUCUGUCUCUGGUGGGUUCUAGGUGGUCUUUUUUCCUAGUCGUGCUGCACCUCUCAAAAACUUCUCCCAGGCGUUGUGAGAUCUUAUUAUCUGUGCAGCUGCAUCAUUACUAAAAAACAGGACAACCUGGAACCUUACAUGUGUGGUUGGGUGUGCUAGUGUAUGGUUAUAACCAGCUCCUGUCUCUGUGUGUGUCUGUCCACUAGGCACAGCCUUGGUGAUCCAGCGUGACCAGGUUCACCUGCAGGACAGUGUCAGUCAGGGCCGGUUCACCUUCCAGACCUCUAUGCACAGUGACGGAAGCAUCGUCUUCGCUUACAAGGAGUAUGAUUAGACCACUAUGCCUGACCGCAGUCUGACCACCAUUGACCACCUAACUCAUUAUGCCAGAUGUCCGCAGGAGGACCGUCUAUGAGUACCACAAAGUGAGCAUCCUUAAGUCCAAGAUCUCCAACUCCACUGCAGUUGAGGUGCUUCUUCUGCCCAUUCACCAGCUGUGGUCCUUGUGUCUCGUCUGAGAUCGGCUUUAACUGCAGCCGGUGUAGCGGACAGCGGAGGUGCUCCAGUGGCUUCGACAGACAUCGCCAGGACUGGGUUGACAGAGGCUGCCCUGAAAAGAAACUGAACAAUUCACUAUUCAAUUCAUUAGUUUUCUUCUGCUUCAAGGAAACUAAUUCAAAACUGGAAACUAAAUUCCCACCGUCUUGAUUUCACAGGGGGAAAAACAAAGCUGAGUUCAGAUGGUUCACACCAACACCAGCACCACACCACCUUACAUUGUUACUCUCACUCACACUACAACCACUCCAGUUGCUACGACAACCACAGUGAGACAACGGACCGCCACUUUCGUCGCCACGACGACUACCUCCACCACCACAACUACUACUACAACCAGACCCAGCACCACGGUAUCCACCGCCCUGCCCUUCACCAGUGCUCCUCCAGUGUGUUAGUAGCACUACAUACCUGGCACACUUUCUAACCAACGCAUUCUCCCCAAAGCGUGCACUAGUUAUAUUCCUUCUCAUGGAUUCACUGUAAAAGGACUGAAUUGUGUGAAAAUCCCUCUUGUGUGAAAAUGUGUCUAUGCUUGCCAAAGCCAAUCCAAAGCUUCUAAACCCAUGAUGUGAAGUAAAAGAGUGCGCACUCCAGGGAGACAGGUAUAGAAUAGGAGUUGGGCUGAGGUUUGUGUUUAGCUCUGGCUGCUCAGGGACGUAGUGAUGGCGAGGGUACGCCUCUAUAUUUGGCUCUGGUGUGAACAUUGACUGCAGCCCUCUGACUUGCCAUGAAUUGAUCACUAGGUGUCCAAACAAAUCCUUUACCCAUCUGUAUGUCCUCUUGUUCUUUCAGAUCACACAAAGAAGUGGUUGCCAAUCCUAUUCUAAUGAAUAAUGCAUAUGAUCACGAUAGGCAGGGCGUGCACUUUUGGGACUAUUCCAUUGGUUCCAUUAGGCUGGGCAAGCAAUAAGCAAGCGCACCGAAAGUACUUGAAUGAACGCCAAUAUUAUUUUGACCCAGAUCUGAGCAACAGCCCAGCAAACUGAACAUGUUAGGUAACGUCCCAACUUGUCCCCCUCCACAACACAUCUAAUUUUAUUUUAUUUAUGCUAAACACAUUGUGACAUUUAGGACCUUCAUCAGACAGAACAUCAGAUAUUGUUUAUGCCUACAUGGAGUAGUUACACAUUUUAGGGAUGCCUCUCUUACACAGUUGUUUGUGCACAAACCUCCUUUCAGUUCUGUGCUUCCCCCAGAGGCUAGGCUGGCCUGCUAUAAAGCUGACGUUCUGUCACAGCUCGCGGAACCCUGCAUACUCCGAGGUGGUACGCAGGCCGCUGGAGAAGGACGGUGUGGUGGCCAUCGACCCCAAACAAGCGUUCAUCAUCUCUGACUGAGACCUCAGGGAGAGCUUUAUAGACGACAAGGACAGUUUCAUUGACCCCGACCAGAGAAUACGCUUCGUGUCAGACCAGUGCUGACUGGAACUAACCGGACCUGACCAUUCAGGGGGCUUUGGGGAGGAACUAGUAUUUUUAUACUGUGGAAGGAGAAUGUAUGCUUCCGCUACCUCGCAGUCCAACCAAGGUGUAAGAAACUGGUACUUUCUGGUACUUUCUACGGUGGAAAUGCAAUUGUAUGCUAUUGCUACCUCGCAGUCUAGUGAAGGUGCGUGAAUAGAGGAACAGACAGAGAUUGUGAGACCAAAUUCAGACACUUGGAGGACAAAUUGAAGUUUGAAGAAAAAAAAACGCUUUGGCCUUCUUCAGUUCUUCCGUGGAAGAACUGUGUUGAGGAAUUUAUUCAAUUACCUUUUAUUCAGCAUAUGACAACCUCCAGGUUGAUUUAAAAGCAAUGACCGAUAUAAGCUAAGAAUGUCAUCAGCAUGAUGACCAGGUUUUGUUUUCCUGGUGGACUACACUACGGCAGCCUACUGGAGAUGGAAAUGGCGGUGCCACAGGAGAGAGUCUCAUGCCUAUGCAGAGUUGACUGAACUCAACAGUGACAGAAAAAGCUGGAACAAUGUACUAAUGAUUCUCUACUGUAAAUAUGCUUUACCCAUUGUCAUUUUCAUGACAUUUGUAACAUUUCUAAUUUGUGUGAGAAUGCUGUGUCUGCAGAGGACUGGACACAAAAUCAAUUCAACUGGACAGACGAAUUGACCUAUUCCUCUCAGGUCAUUAAGUGAUGUUUACUAUAAUGCAUACCUUAGUGAAGGGGAUGAAGGUAGGAUGCUGUCGAAUGUCUAUGGAAAACAAAGGCAGGAGCACUGCUUGAGGGAAACAAGUGGAUGUUAAAGGAAACACUCACUGGAACAUAAACUGUUGAAUGUUUGUUUCCAUGAAGAUGGAUUUUUAUUUCUCCAGAAGCCCUAUGUGCAGCUCCUCGGCUCCAUCAACACAGGUGGAAUGUCAGACAGUGGUGCCACUUCCUCCUCUCAAAAACCCAAACAAACGUCUUUCCCCAUCUCUUUAACCUGAAAGGUUAGGCAAGCUCUGUGUGUGUAUGAAUCUCAAGAUUGAUUACUUCAAAGGCUUUAGUUCAUGACUUUGUUCCCACACUUGUAAUAGUGGAAGACAAGUAGCUAGCCUUCACAUUGAAAUGUCUGUCUGUAGGAGCACAAUGAUAAGCCAUAAGUAAUUGAAU
Molecule: non-coding RNA, 3522 nt
Organism: Salmo salar (Atlantic salmon)
Lineage: Eukaryota; Metazoa; Chordata; Actinopteri; Salmoniformes; Salmonidae
Source: RefSeq, a predicted model, not a curated record